UGGCUCGUAGCUCAGUUGGCAGAGCAGCGGAUUGUUAAUCCGCGCGUCGUAGGUUCGAGUCCUACCGGGUCAGCC
Molecule: transfer RNA, 75 nt
Filed under: Streptomyces phage Shady
Lineage: Duplodnaviria; Heunggongvirae; Uroviricota; Caudoviricetes; Colingsworthviridae
Description: tRNA-Asn
Rfam family: tRNA
About the family: Transfer RNA (tRNA) molecules are approximately 80 nucleotides in length. Their secondary structure includes four short double-helical elements and three loops (D, anti-codon, and T loops).
Source: RNAcentral